This 877-nucleotide ribosomal RNA is filed under the name uncultured Acidobacteriaceae bacterium. RNAcentral describes it as "bacterial SSU rRNA". It matches the Rfam family "Bacterial small subunit ribosomal RNA", at positions 8 to 916 of the family's 1533-position model. The record is from RNAcentral. Lineage: Bacteria; Pseudomonadati; Acidobacteriota; Terriglobia; Terriglobales; Acidobacteriaceae.
AGAGUUUGAUCCUGGCUCAGAAUCAACGCUGGCGGCGUGCCUAACACAUGCAAGUCGCACGAGAAAGGGGCUUCGGCUCUGAGUAAAGUGGCGCACGGGUGAGUAACACGUGAAUAAUCUACCUCCGAGUGGGGAAUAACCUAGAGAAAUCUGGGCUAAUACCGCAUAACACUUACGAGUCAAAGCAGCAAUGCGCUUGGAGAGGAGUUCGCGGCCGAUUAGUUAGUUGGCGGGGUAAUGGCCCACCAAGACGAUGAUCGGUAUCCGGCCUGAGAGGGCGCACGGACACACUGGAACUGAAACACGGUCCAGACUCCUACGGGAGGCAGCAGUGGGGAAUUUUGCGCAAUGGGGGAAACCCUGACGCAGCAACGCCGCGUGGAGGAUGAAAUAUCUUGGUAUGUAAACUCCUUUCGAUGGGGAAGAUAAUGACGGUACCCAUAGAAGAAGCCCCGGCUAACUUCGUGCCAGCAGCCGCGGUAAUACGAGGGGGGCAAGCGUUGUUCGGAUUUAUUGGGCGUAAAGGGUGCGUAGGCGGUUUGGCAAGUCUUAUGUGAAAUCUAUGGGCUCAACCCAUAGUCUGCAUAAGAAACUGCCGGGCUUGAGUAUGGGAGAGGUGAGUGGAAUUUCCGGUGUAGCGGUGAAAUGCGUAGAUAUCGGAAGGAACACCUGUGGCGAAAGCGGCUCACUGGACCAUAACUGACGCUGAUGCACGAAAGCUAGGGGAGCAAACAGGAUUAGAUACCCUGGUAGUCCUAGCCCUAAACGAUGAUUGUUUGAUGUGGCAGGUACCCAAUCCUGCCGUGUCGAAGCUAACGCGAUAAACAAUCCGCCUGGGGAGUACGGUCGCAAGGCUGAAACUCAAAGGAAUUGACGG